UACGGAGGGGGCUAGCGUUGUUCGGAAUUACUGGGCGUAAAGCGCGCGUAGGCGGAUCUGCAAGUCGGGGGUGAAAUCCCGAGGCUCAACCUCGGAACUGCCUUCGAUACUGCGGGUCUCGAGUCCGGGAGAGGUGAGUGGAAUUCCUAGUGUAGAGGUGAAAUUCGUAGAUAUUAGGAAGAACACCAAUGGCGAAGGCAGCCUUCUGGGCCAACACUGACGCUCAUGCACGAAAGCGUGGGGAGCAAACAGG
RNAcentral lists this ribosomal RNA (253 nucleotides) under uncultured bacterium. RNAcentral's name for it is "partial 16S ribosomal RNA". It matches the Rfam family "Bacterial small subunit ribosomal RNA", at positions 524 to 776 of the family's 1533-position model. The record is from RNAcentral.